AUAAUUUAUUUAUUUUUUAAUUUUUGUUACUAUUUAUUCUAUGUUUUGGUUAUCAUUUACAGUAACAUUUGUUCUAUUUUUCCUUUAUAUCCAUUCCUUUUCAUUCCUAUUUUAUCAUUUUUUCUUUUCCUGUUUGUUCUUUUUUAGUCAUGUUCUUCUUCAUUCCUUGUAUUCAUUUAUAGGUCACCAAUCGGACCCGAUAUGUUGAUUUAAAGAGAGUGGACAUAUCAAUUCUGGUAGCUGGUAAAAAGCAUCUAUUUCCUUUGCUUUCAAGCUCAUGUGUUACACAAACAUGUUAUAAAGUCA
Molecule: small RNA, 306 nt
Filed under: Arabidopsis thaliana (thale cress)
Lineage: Eukaryota; Viridiplantae; Streptophyta; Magnoliopsida; Brassicales; Brassicaceae
Description: ATSL140290
Source: RNAcentral